Molecule: ribosomal RNA, 433 nt
Filed under: uncultured bacterium
Lineage: Bacteria
Description: partial 16S ribosomal RNA
Rfam family: Bacterial small subunit ribosomal RNA
Source: RNAcentral
AACGAACGCUGGCGGCAUGCCUAACACAUGCAAGUCGAACGAGACCUUCGGGUCUAGUGGCGCACGGGUGCGUAACGCGUGGGAACCUACCCUUAGGUUCGGAAUAACUCCCCGAGAGGGGUGCUAAUACCGGAUAAUGUCUUCGGACCAAAGAUUUAUCGCCUUGGGGUGGGCCCGCGUUGGAUUAGCUAGUUGGUAGGGUAAAAGCCUACCAAGGCGACGAUCCAUAGCUGGUCGGAGAGGAGGAUCAGCCACACUGGGACUGAGACACGGCCCAGACUCCGACGGGAGGGAGCAGUGUGGAAUACUGGACAAGGGGCGAAAGUCUGAUACAGCAAUGCCGCGUGAGUGAGGAAGGCCUUAGGGUUGUAAAGCUCUUUUACCCGGGAUGAUAAUGACAGUACCGGGAGAAUAAGCACCGGCUAACUCCGUG